ACGAAACAAAAAAUAAUAAAUUAUACGCAAAAUUGCUUAUAUUUUUAACUUUUAUGCUAUAUUUAUAUAAGUGUUUUACACAAGUAUGAGAAAUUAAAAAGAUUAAUCAAAAGUAAUAUAAAAUAGAGAAUAAUAAAAACAUUAAAGUGACAGCAACGACUUUCAAUGAUACAGUUAGAAACCAGAAUUUUCAAAAGAAGAGUGGGCUUUUAAAAAUUUUGUACGGGGCUAAGGAUCAGUAAACGAGUAGCAAGACUGGUAAAAUUUUGAGCGUUCAAAAAUUUGACCGGGCUAAGGCCCACCCUAGCCCCUUCACAGGUCCGCCACU
RNAcentral lists this long non-coding RNA (328 nucleotides) under Daucus carota (carrot). Its description in RNAcentral is "long non-coding RNA (DCAR_LNC000038)". The record is from RNAcentral. Lineage: Eukaryota; Viridiplantae; Streptophyta; Magnoliopsida; Apiales; Apiaceae.